Molecule: ribosomal RNA, 253 nt
Filed under: uncultured bacterium
Lineage: Bacteria
Description: partial 16S ribosomal RNA
Rfam family: Bacterial small subunit ribosomal RNA
Source: RNAcentral
GACAGAGGGGGCAAGCGUUGUUCGGAAUCACUGGGCGUAAAGGGCGCGUAGGCGGGUUGGCAAGUCAGUCGUGAAAUCUCUCGGCUCAACCGAGAAACGUCGGCUGAUACUGCCGUUCUUGAGGGAUGCAGAGGAGACUGGAAUUCCCGGCGUAGCGGUGAAAUGUGUAGAGAUCGGGAGGAACACCGGUGGCGAAGGCGGCGUCCUGGCCCAUUUCUGACGUUCAGACAUGACAGCAUGGGGAGCGAACGGG